This 333-nucleotide ribosomal RNA is filed under the name uncultured bacterium. RNAcentral's name for it is "bacterial SSU rRNA". It matches the Rfam family "Bacterial small subunit ribosomal RNA", at positions 568 to 898 of the family's 1533-position model. The record is from RNAcentral.
CGCGUAGGUGGCGAGAUAAGCGUGUGGUGAAAGCCCGGGGCUCAACCCCGUGUCUGCCAUGCGGACUGUCUUGCUCGAGCGUAGUAGAGGCAGGUGGAAUUCCGGGUGUAGCGGUGGAAUGCGUAGAGAUCCGGAAGAACACCGGUGGCGAAGGCGGCCUGCUGGGCUACUGCUGACACUGAUGCGCGACAGCGUGGGGAGCAAACAGGAUUAGAUACCCUGGUAGUCCACGCCGUAAACGAUGGGUACUAGGUGUCUGGGGGGAGCGACCCCCUGGGUGCCGGCGCUAACGCAUGAAGUACCCCGCCUGGGGAGUACGGCCGCAAGGCUGAA